GUGACUAUAGCUUAGAUGGAAGAGCCCCGGAUUGUGGUUCCGGAAGUCGUGGGUUCGAAUCCCACUAGUCACC
RNAcentral lists this transfer RNA (73 nucleotides) under Candidatus Riesia pediculischaeffi. It matches the Rfam family "tRNA". Rfam says of the family: Transfer RNA (tRNA) molecules are approximately 80 nucleotides in length. Their secondary structure includes four short double-helical elements and three loops (D, anti-codon, and T loops). The record is from Rfam by way of RNAcentral. Lineage: Bacteria; Pseudomonadati; Pseudomonadota; Gammaproteobacteria; Enterobacterales; Enterobacteriaceae.